Molecule: unclassified non-coding RNA, 229 nt
Filed under: plant metagenome
Description: partial contains small subunit ribosomal RNA, internal transcribed spacer 1, and 5.8S ribosomal RNA
Source: RNAcentral
UCUCCGUAGGUGAACCUGCGGAGGGAUCAUUACAGAGUUCUCGCCCUCGCGGGAAGAUCUCCCACCCACUGUUAUCGUUACUGUGUUGCUUUGGCGGGCCGCCGGGCCCCGCUCGGCCGCCGGCUCCGGCUGGCGCGCGCCCGCCAGAGGCCCAGCAAACUCUGAAUGUUAGUGUCGUCUGAGUACUAUAUAAUAGUUAAAACUUUCAACAACGGAUCUCUUGGUUCUG